GUUGCUUCACGACUGGAAGAAUGGCCUGAUUAUCUAUUGUCUGGUCAUUCUGUAGAGGGAAGCAUAGAUUGAACAAGUAGCCAGAAUUAAACAGCAUGAUGCUUGUUUCAUUGCAUCCGUGUUACCUGUCUCCUGGCACAGUA
This 143-nucleotide small nucleolar RNA is filed under the name Sorghum bicolor (sorghum). RNAcentral describes it as "small nucleolar RNA snoR137". It matches the Rfam family "small nucleolar RNA snoR137". The record is from Rfam by way of RNAcentral. Lineage: Eukaryota; Viridiplantae; Streptophyta; Magnoliopsida; Poales; Poaceae.